GCUUAACACAUGCAAGUCGAACGAGAACGGAUUAUAGCUUGCUAUAAUUGUCAGCUAAGUGGCGCACGGGUGAGUAAUAUAUAGAUAACCUGCCCUCUAAGAAAGGAAUAACAGUUGGAAACGACUGCUAAUGCCCUAUAUGCCUUUAAUACAUAAGUAUGCAAGGGAAACGCUUUAGUGCUAGAGGAUGGGUCUGUAUGGUAUCAGCUUGUUGGUGAGGUAAUGGCUUACCAAGACUAUGACACAUAACUGGUUUGAGAGGAUGAUCAGUCACACUGGAACUGAGACACGGUCCAGACUCCUACGGGAGGCAGCAGGUGGGGAAUAUUGCACAAUGGACGAAAGUCUGAUGCAGCAACGCCGCGUGGAGGAUGACACAUUUCGGUGCGUAAACUCCUUUUAUAUGAGAAGAUAAUGACGGUAUUAUAUGAAUAAGCACCGGCUAACUCCGUG
RNAcentral lists this ribosomal RNA (453 nucleotides) under uncultured bacterium. Its description in RNAcentral is "bacterial SSU rRNA". It matches the Rfam family "Bacterial small subunit ribosomal RNA", at positions 46 to 507 of the family's 1533-position model. The record is from RNAcentral.